GCUUGAACGGUCCACGCGGGAAAAUCCACGGAGACCCUCCACAAUGCCAGGGACUCGGAUGAACAAUGGGAACCCCCAAAGUCAAGGUGUCCAUCCCCCACUCAUUCAGACGUUGAAGCUGGUUCAUCCAGUCUGACCCCUGCUGUCUCCUGCUCCACACCGACCCCCAGCUGGCCAUCUAGAGGUGUGAAGAGGCCAGCCAAGAAGCAGAGGAGGGGAAGUGCAACAGCUGUAACCGAAGAGGCAGGAGACCGUUGGUACACUGUGCUAGAUGAUGAUUUGGAGCCACUUCCACCAACAUUUUGACCGAAAAGGCAGACAGAACCUCGGCUGGACAUAACUAGAAAGUACAGCCUCCUUCAUCGUUUACAGAUGUGUUUCUCCUUGUCAGUUCUUGAUUCGCUGGUGUCUAACACCAACAAGUAUGGGGCUAAAAAGCAAACAUGUAAGAAAGAGGCAUGGAAGCCCAUUUCCAUCCAAGACCUGUACUGUUAUAUCUCACUGGUCAUUUACAUGGAUGGGGCUUGUGAAGUUGAAAAACCUGAAGGACUACUGGAGAAGCUCAACACUCUACCAACUGCCUUUUCCCACCACUGUCAUAUCUACUAAAAGGUUUCUAACUCGCGGGCGCUUCAUAUCAGUGACCCACAAGCUGACGACGACAAUGACAAGAAGAGAGGCACAGCAAGCUUUGAUCGGUUUGAUUUUGCAGAGCCUCUCUACCCCAGCAUGGUUGAGGCCUGCAAGACCCACUUUCAGCCUGACUGAAACCUGUCCAUAGAUGAGAGGAUGGUAGCCUCAAAAGCUAGAAUUAGCAAUAUUGGCGUAACAAGCCAACAAAAUGGGUUUACAAACUGUUUGUUUUGGCCGAUUCUGUGUGUGCAUACACUUGUGGACCACUAAAAAUGCCCCCAUUCCAGCUGCUGUAAAGGAUUACAACAAGCGCAUGGGAGGUGUGGACCUGUCAGACGUUCUGAUAGGCUACUACAAUGUUCUCCACAAGACAAUGAAAUGGUACAAGACAUUGUUCUAUCACUUCAACGACAUUGAUGUGGUAAAUGCAUUCAUCCUCCAGCAGGAAAAUGGCUAAGAGCUAUGGACAGACCCCCAUGACAUAGCUAGCCUUCAGAGAGCUGCUCAUCCAGGAGCUUGUUGACUAUGGCACAAAGUCUACUGCAGCACCUUCUGUCCCCUCUACUCCUGCCACCAGUGGUGUUCACCUGCCCGAAUACAUAACUGCAGACAUGAAUGUGCCUCAGGGCCAAAAGGGCACAGCAGGGAGGCGUCGUGCUCUGUGUCACAAGAAUCUCCCAUCACCUGCACUACUUGUUCUGCUACCCUCUGCUUUACAGCAGAAAGAGACUGCCAUGGGACUUGGCAUCAGCAGCACAAUAUUGUGUAGAGGACUCAGGGUGUUCCAAAUAUUGUAAUUGUAUUUUUUUUCACUUUGUGUGCGGUUUGUGGUGUGUUCACACCACUGACAUUAGAUCACUGCUGGCUGCUAACUUGGCCCUUAUCUUAAAUAUUGAACUUCUGUGUUUGGAGACAUUGGAUUAGCAUUCUUGUCACAUCUCCUGUUAGUACCUUUUAUGUAGGGAAGCUAAUGAUUCAUCAUGUAUGACAUUCCUGGGUGUAAACUUGUAUUUUUUUAUUAGCAUAGCAUUUUUGUAUGUUCUCUAUAGUUAUUUUCUUGAAAAUGUAUCCAUUUACCAAUUUGGCCACUUGGAGGCCACUUGGGUACAUUUGGGCAACUCGUGAGGGACACCUGGGUGACUUCAUACUAAAUGUCAUGUAGCUCUUAAAGUUAUCAGUCUGAAACUUUGCACAUAUACUGUUGCCCUCUUGUGGACACCAUCUAAAUUAUCUCCAGCAUCCUAUCUGAAUGUAUAGCUUUUCUUUUUCAAAAAUAAAAAACUUGUUUUUUUGUUUGUUUUAUCUUUUACCAGA
Long non-coding RNA from Salvelinus namaycush (lake trout), 1947 nucleotides. RefSeq lists it as uncharacterized. NCBI's taxonomy places the organism in Eukaryota, Metazoa, Chordata, Actinopteri, Salmoniformes, Salmonidae. The transcript has 2 exons. The record is from RefSeq and is a predicted model, not a curated record.